Long non-coding RNA from Candoia aspera, 438 nucleotides. RefSeq lists it as uncharacterized. The record is from RefSeq and is a predicted model, not a curated record. Lineage: Eukaryota; Metazoa; Chordata; Lepidosauria; Squamata; Candoiidae. The transcript is spliced from 2 exons.
GCUUGCCUGGCCGGGGUCGGUGGCGCGGAAGACGUGGCAGGCGACCGGGGAGUCGGGGUCGUCGGGCUGCGCCUUGAUCAGCCCUUGCAGACCCUGGAACAGACUCAAGGAAGAGGAAGUGCUUUUUCCUGGCACAGAAUCCCCUUGGGGUUCACCUCUGCUCUGUGCUGGGCCCUGUGCAUGGAAGUAAACGUUUCCAGCCAUGGAGGGAAGAAAACACCAUGGAAUCCUUCAUGCAUCCGACCCAUAUAACACACUUUUCGUAGGGAAGUUACGCUGUCUCACCUAAUGAGAAAACGUGUAACUGUUUCAAAGUCUUUUACUCUGCACAUGGAGAAUGCAGUUGGCUACACGGUUCUCCCAACAAGCAAGAGAAAAAAGUCUUUGGGCAGCAAAGCAGUUUACCGAUCCCAAUGGGAAGCCACGUCCCCGAUGGAA